CGCCUGUUGCUAAACUUUCAUCAGAUUAACUUUUGCCGUAAAACCUAAACCACAAAAUCUGCUCGUUUCAUGGUUUAGUAAAAGACAAAUAUAAAUACACGUUAUUCGCGAGUAGUUUUAUUGCAGACUUAGACUUGCCAUUCUAAUCUUUUCUAUUUAUUAAUUUAGAUAAAAAGUUGCAGUACUUUCUAUUUAGGGGGAAAUGAAAAAAACUAUGUGAUCUGAAUAUUCGCACAAUUGUAUAAAGAAACUAAUAUUAAAUUUGAUUCAAAUUGUUUUUCACAACGGAUACCCAGGAAGACUGGAACGGAACUUGACGUAUCGUCUAUCAAGAAUUAAGAGCGAUUCGUUUCCAAUAUACGGUCCAGGAGAUUCCAUUUUAUGGUUUCUCGAUUAUUCCAUUUUCUAUUAUCCCAGACUUUCAUUAUCCGAUUUAUUAAGGGUAUACGUACUAUAUGAUGCAUUUUCAGAUUGCACAUUAAAUGU
Molecule: unclassified non-coding RNA, 486 nt
Filed under: Bombus terrestris (buff-tailed bumblebee)
Lineage: Eukaryota; Metazoa; Arthropoda; Insecta; Hymenoptera; Apidae
Description: misc RNA ENSBTSG00005036346.1
Source: RNAcentral